This 1402-nucleotide ribosomal RNA is filed under the name metagenome. RNAcentral describes it as "bacterial SSU rRNA". It matches the Rfam family "Bacterial small subunit ribosomal RNA". The record is from RNAcentral.
AGAGUUUGAUCCUGGCUCAGGAUGAACGCUGGCGGCGUGCUUAACACAUGCAAGUCGAACGAUCCUUCGGGAUAGUGGCGGACGGGCGAGUAACGCGUGGGAAUCUGCCCUCAGGAGGGGGAUAACGGCUGGAAACGGCCGCUAAUACCCCAUAUGCCGAGAGGUGAAAUGAAUUUCGCCUGAGGAUGAGCCCGCGUCUGAUUAGCUAGUUGGUGGGGUAAUGGCCUACCAAGGCAACGAUCAGUAGCUGGUCUGAGAGGAUGAUCAGCCACACUGGGACUGAGACACGGCCCAGACUCCUACGGGAGGCAGCAGUGGGGAAUUUUCCGCAAUGGGCGAAAGCCUGACGGAGCAACGCCGCGUGAGGGAUGAAGGCCUCUGGGCUGUAAACCUCUUUUCUCAAGGAAGAAGAUCUGACGGUACUUGAGGAAUAAGCCACGGCUAAUUCCGUGCCAGCAGCCGCGGUAAUACGGGAGUGGCAAGCGUUAUCCGGAAUUAUUGGGCGUAAAGCGUCCGCAGGCGGCCUUGUAAGUCUGUUGUUAAAGCGUGGAGCUCAACUCCAUCUAAGCAAUGGAAACUACAAGGCUGGAGUGUGGUAGGGGCAGAGGGAAUUCCCGGUGUAGCGGUGAAAUGCGUAGAUAUCGGGAAGAACACCAGUGGCGAAGGCGCUCUGCUGGGCCAUAACUGACGCUCAUGGACGAAAGCCAGGGGAGCGAAAGGGAUUAGAUACCCCUGUAGUCCUGGCCGUAAACGAUGAACACUAGGUGUCGGGGGAAUCGACCCCCUCGGUGUCGUAGCCAACGCGUUAAGUGUUCCGCCUGGGGAGUACGCACGCAAGUGUGAAACUCAAAGGAAUUGACGGGGGCCCGCACAAGCGGUGGAGUAUGUGGUUUAAUUCGAUGCAACGCGAAGAACCUUACCAGGGUUUGACAUCCUGCGAACCCCUGAGAAAUCGGGGGGUGCCUUCGGGAGCGCAGAGACAGGUGGUGCAUGGCUGUCGUCAGCUCGUGUCGUGAGAUGUUGGGUUAAGUCCCGCAACGAGCGCAACCCACGUCUUUAGUUGCCAGCAUUCAGUUGGGCACUCUAGAGAGACCGCCGGUGAUAAACCGGAGGAAGGUGUGGAUGACGUCAAGUCAUCAUGCCCCUUACAUCCUGGGCUACACACGUACUACAAUGCUACGGACAAAGGGCAGCAAGCUCGCGAGAGUUAGCAAAUCCCAUAAACCGUGGCUCAGUUCAGAUCGUAGGCUGCAACUCGCCUACGUGAAGGAGGAAUCGCUAGUAAUCGCAGGUCAGCAUACUGCGGUGAAUACGUUCCCGGGCCUUGUACACACCGCCCGUCACACCAUGGAAGUUGGCCAUGCCCGAAGUCGUUACUCCAACCCUUGUGGAGGAGGACGCC